This 224-nucleotide long non-coding RNA is filed under the name Elaeis guineensis (African oil palm). Its description in RNAcentral is "long non-coding RNA (EGUI_LNC003476)". The record is from RNAcentral. Lineage: Eukaryota; Viridiplantae; Streptophyta; Magnoliopsida; Arecales; Arecaceae.
CUCCUUACCAAUACAUUGCAUCCGUGACCCAAUCCAGUCCGAUCUAUUUAAAUCCAAUCCGACCAAUUUAAAAAGAUCCACGAUGUAAUACCCGGCUUGUUGGCCCUUAAACCCAAAAGCUCCAAAAAAAAUAAUAAUAAAAGCUAGGAUUGAUAGAAUCUGAUUUAAGAGUAUAGUAAAGAUAGUAUAAAAAUUAAGAUCCUUAUUGGUAAAAGAGUGAGGGG